GAUGAAGAACGUAGCGAAAUGCGAUAAGUAAUGUGAAUUGCAGAAUUCAGUGAAUCAUCGAAUCUUUGAAUGCACAUUGCGCCCGCCAGUAUUCUGGCGGGCAUGCCUGUUCGAGCGUCAUUUCAACCAUCAAGCCCCCGGCUUGUGUUGGGGACCUGCGGCUGCCGCAGGCCCUGAAAACCAGUGGCGGGCUCGCUGUCACACCGAGCGUAGUAGAUUUUCAUCUCGCUCAGGGCGUGCUGCGGGUUCCGGCCGUAAAAAGCCUUAUUUACCCAAGGUUGACCUCGGAUCAGGUAGGAAGACCCGCUGAACUUAAGCAUAUCAAUAAGCGGAGG
Molecule: unclassified non-coding RNA, 335 nt
Filed under: soil metagenome
Description: partial contains 5.8S ribosomal RNA, internal transcribed spacer 2, and large subunit ribosomal RNA
Rfam family: 5.8S ribosomal RNA (bases 1-120)
Source: RNAcentral